UUCUAACGUGGACCCGUGAUCCGGGUUGCGGACAGUGUCUGGUGGGUAGUUUGACUGGGGCGGUCUCCUCCUAAAGAGUAACGGAGGAGCACGAAGGUUGGCUAAUCCUGGUCGGACAUCAGGAGGUUAGUGCAAUGGCAUAAGCCAGCUUGACUGCGAGCGUGACGGCGCGAGCAGGUGCGAAAGCAGGUCAUAGUGAUCCGGUGGUUCUGAAUGGAAGGGCCAUCGCUCAACGGAUAAAAGGUACUCCGGGGAUAACAGGCUGAUACCGCCCAAGAGUUCAUAUCGACGGCGGUGUUUGGCACCUCGAUGUCGGCUCAUCACAUCCUGGGGCUGAAGUAGGUCCCAAGGGUAUGGCUGUUCGCCAUUUAAAGUGGUACGCGAGCUGGGUUUAGAACGUCGUGAGACAGUUCGGUCCCUAUCUGCCGUGGGCGCUGGAGAACUGAGGGGGGCUGCUCCUAGUACGAGAGGACCGGAGUGGACGCAUCACUGGUGUUCGGGUUGUCAUGCCAAUGGCACUGCCCGGUAGCUAAAUGCGGAAGAGAUAAGUGCUGAAAGCAUCUAAGCACGAAACUUGCCCCGAGAUGAGUUCUCCCUGAGACUUAGAG
RNAcentral lists this ribosomal RNA (608 nucleotides) under Salmonella enterica subsp. enterica serovar Anatum. RNAcentral describes it as "partial 23S ribosomal RNA". It matches the Rfam family "Bacterial large subunit ribosomal RNA", at positions 2220 to 2824 of the family's 2925-position model. Lineage: Bacteria; Pseudomonadati; Pseudomonadota; Gammaproteobacteria; Enterobacterales; Enterobacteriaceae. The record is from RNAcentral.